UUGGAGGGCAAGUCUGGUGCCAGCAGCCGCGGUAAUUCCAGCUCCAAUAGCGUAUAUUAAAGUUGUUGCAGUUAAAAAGCUCGUAGUUGAAUUUCGGGAUCAGAGUGUCGGUCGUGCCUCGGUACGCACUGGUAUUAUUGGUUCCUACCUUCUGAAGAACCGCGAUGUCAUUAAUUUGGUGUCGUGGGAAUCAGGACUGUUACUUUGAAAAAAUUAGAGUGUUUAAAGCAGGCUUACGCUUGAAUACAUUAGCAUGGAAUAAUGAAAUAGGACGUUUGAUUCUAUUUUGUUGGUUUCUAGGAUCGACGUAAUGAUUAAUAGGGAUAGUUGGGGGCAUUAGUAUUCAAUUGUCAGAGGUGAAAUUCUUGGAUUUAUUGAAGACUAACUACUGCGAAAGCAUUUGCCAAGGAUGUUUUCAUUAAUCAAGAACGAAAGUUAGGGGAUCGAAGACGAUCAGAUACCGCCGUAGUCUUAACCAUAAACUAUGCCGACUAGGGAUCGGAUGAUGUUAAUUUUUUAAUGACUCAUUCGGCGCCUUACGGGAAACCAAAGUGUUUGGGUUC
This 563-nucleotide ribosomal RNA is filed under the name uncultured Glomeromycotina. RNAcentral describes it as "SSU rRNA". It matches the Rfam family "Eukaryotic small subunit ribosomal RNA", at positions 548 to 1114 of the family's 1831-position model. The record is from RNAcentral. Lineage: Eukaryota; Fungi; Glomeromycota.